RNAcentral lists this ribosomal RNA (467 nucleotides) under uncultured bacterium. Its description in RNAcentral is "partial 16S ribosomal RNA". It matches the Rfam family "Bacterial small subunit ribosomal RNA", at positions 28 to 507 of the family's 1533-position model. The record is from RNAcentral.
GACGAACGCUGGCGGCGUGCUUAACACAUGCAAGUCGAACGGAAAGGCCUCUUUCGGGGGGUACUCGAGUGGCGAACGGGUGAGUAACACGUGAGUAACCUGCCCUUGACUUUGGGAUAACUUCAGGAAACUGGGGCUAAUACCGGAUAGGAGCUCCUGCUGCAUGGUGGGGGUUGGAAAGUUUCGGCGGUUGGGGAUGGACUCGCGGCUUAUCAGCUUGUUGGUGGGGUAGUGGCUUACCAAGGCUUUGACGGGUAGCCGGCCUGAGAGGGUGACCGGGCAAAUUGGGACUGAGAUACGGCCCAGACUCCUACGGGAGGCAGCAGUGGGGAAUAUUGCACAAUGGGUGGAAGCCUGAUGCAGCAACGCCGUGUGCGGGAUGACGGCCUUCGGGUUGUGAACCGCUUUCGCUCAUGACGAAGCUUUGUGUGACGGUAGUGGGUAAAGAAGCACCGGCUAACUACGUG